RNAcentral lists this ribosomal RNA (775 nucleotides) under uncultured Neocallimastigales. RNAcentral describes it as "partial large subunit ribosomal RNA". It matches the Rfam family "Eukaryotic large subunit ribosomal RNA", at positions 20 to 644 of the family's 3401-position model. Lineage: Eukaryota; Fungi; Neocallimastigomycota; Neocallimastigomycetes; Neocallimastigales. The record is from RNAcentral.
UACUAGAGUAGCACUCGCAUAUCAAUAAGCGGAGGAAAAGAAACUAACAAGGAUUCCCCUAGUAACGGCGAGUGAAGCGGGAAGAGCUCAAAUUUGAAAUCUUAAAGGGUUUCCCUUUACGAGUUGUAGUUUAAAGAAGUGUUUUCUGUUGAGGUUUUGGUAAAAGUUCUUUGGAACUAGGACAUCAUAGAGGGUGAGAAUCCCGUAUUUGACCUUUACUUUCAACUUUGUGAUACACUUUCAAAGAGUCGGAUUGUUUGGGAAUGCAGUCCAAAAUGGGUGGUAAAUUUCAUCUAAAGCUAAAUAUUGGCGAGAGACCGAUAGCGAACAAGUACCGUGAGGGAAAGAUGAAAAGAACUUUGAAAAGAGAGUUAAACAGUACGUGAAAUUGUCAAAAGGGAAGCGUUUGACACCAGUGUUGUUUUUCUGAAAAUCAAUUAAAGAACUGUUUAUGCUAAGCUGUUUAGACUUUAUCAGCUAUCUGUUUAGUUUUGAACUUUUCUUUAAUGCACUUUUCAGUUAACAAGUCAACAUCAAUUUCUUUUGCUGUAAAAAAGCUUGAGGAAGGUGGCUUGAGAUUCGUCUUAAGUGUUUAUAGCCUCUUGCCUAUGCAGUCGGAGAGAUUGAGGUCUGCAGCGUAGAUCCUUCGGGGCUAAAUGCAUUUGUGCUAAGUUAUAGCAUUUUAUAGACAACUUGUUGACUAUGAUUUGUCUUGUAGCUUACUCGCUUAUGUUAUUUUACCUACGCUUAGGAUGUUGAACUACUGAGACAUAGA